This 1364-nucleotide ribosomal RNA is filed under the name metagenome. RNAcentral's name for it is "bacterial LSU rRNA". It matches the Rfam family "Bacterial large subunit ribosomal RNA", at positions 1177 to 2556 of the family's 2925-position model. The record is from RNAcentral.
GUGACUUAAGCCGUAUACCGAAGCUAUGGCUGACAUCGCAAGAUGUCGGGGUAGGAAAGCGUUCCAAAUGCAGCGAAGUGGAAGGGGUAACCGACCAUGGAGCGUUUGGAAGUGAGAAUGCAGACAUAAGUAACGAUAAAGAUGGUUAAAAUCCAUCUCGCCUCAAUUCCAAGGAUUCCUGGGGAAGGUUCGUCCUCCCAGGGUUAGUCGGGAGCUAAGACGAGGCCGUAAGGAGUAGUCGAUGCACAGCUGGUUCAAUAUUCCAGCACCACCUUAUUAGAGUUCGAUGCCAAGGAGUGACGGAGAAAGUUAACACGAGCGGGGCGCUGAUUUCCGUUCAAGUCCGUAGGUUAUUCGGGGAUAAAAUACCGGAUCUAUCUGAAAGACGAUGAAGAGCUGAGGCUACGGCCGAGGCGAUUCGUGUGAUACUCGGCUUCCAGGAAAAGCUUCGUGGCUAUUUGAUAGGGUGCCCGUACCGUAAACCGACACAGGUGGAAUAGAUGAGUAUUCUAAGGCGCGUGGGUUAAAUCUCUCUAAGGAACUCGGCAAACUGACCCCGUAUGUUAGCUAUAAGGGGUGCCUCGCAAGAGGCCACAGAUAAGAGUGUCAACCGACUGUUUAGCAAAAACACAGCUCUCUGCUAAGUCGCAAGACGACGUAUAGGGAGUGACUUGUGACCAAUGCGGAAAGGUGAAAGCCUGGGGUGCAAGCUCCGGGUCUAAGCCCCCGUGAAUGUCGGCCGUAACUAUAACGGUCCUAAGGUAGCGAAAUUCCUUGUCGGGUAAGUUCCGACCCGCACGAAUCAAGUAGCGAGUUGACAACUGUCUCGGAGAGAGGCCCAGUGAAAUUGUAGUGGCGGUGAAGAUGCCGCCUACCCGCAGCAGGACGGAAAGACCCUAUGCACCUUUACUGUAAGCUGUUAUUGUCGCUUGAUUUUUAAUACGUAGCAUAGCUGGGAGACUGCGAAGCCUGCCUUCAGGGGCGGGCCGAGUCGAAAUAUGAAAUACCAGUUUUUAAUUGUUAGGCGUCUAACCUCGUCCCAUUAUCUGGGCGUGGGACAGUGAUAGCAGGUCAGUUUUUCUGGGGCGGAAUCCUCCCAAAGAGUAACGGAGGAUUACGAAGGUUCCCUCAGCCCGGUCGGUAAUCGGGCUAUAGAGCGCAUGAGUAUAAGGGAGCUUUACUGUGAGACCAACAAGUCGAGCAGUUGCGAAAGCAGGUUCAAGUGAUCCGGUGGUUGAAUGUGGAAUCGCCAUCGCUCAUAGGACAAAAGGUACGCUAGGGAUAACAGGCUGAUCGCGCCCAAGCGUUCACAGCGACGGCGCGGUUUGGCACCUCGAUGUCGGCUCAUCACAUCCUGGGGCUGA